This 551-nucleotide ribosomal RNA is filed under the name Julianus pinimus. RNAcentral's name for it is "partial 16S large subunit ribosomal RNA". It matches the Rfam family "Bacterial large subunit ribosomal RNA", at positions 1819 to 2575 of the family's 2925-position model. The record is from RNAcentral. Lineage: Eukaryota; Metazoa; Chordata; Amphibia; Anura; Hylidae.
CGCCUCUUGAGUAAAAAUAAGAGGUCCAGCCUGCCCAGUGACACUAGUUCAACGGCCGCGGUAUCCUAACCGUGCGAAGGUAGCGUAAUCACUUGUUCUUUAAAUAAGGACUAGUAUGAAUGGCAUCACGAGGGUUAUACUGUCUCCUCUUCCUAAUCAGUGAAACUAAUCUUCCCGUGAAGAAGCGGGAAUAUAGCUAUAAGACGAGAAGACCCUAUGGAGCUUUAAAUUUCUCUUCAACUGCCCCUCCCCCUCCCCACGUCUUUGACUUCUUACAUUUACUUCGGCAUCAUGAAGAUGAAUUUUAGGUUGGGGUGACCGCGGAGCACAAAAUAACCUCCACAUUGUAUAGGCCUAAAACCUUGAGCAAAGAACAACAAUUCUAUGCACUAAAACAUUAACACCCAUUGACCCAAUACACUUGAUCAACGAACCAAGUUACCCUAGGGAUAACAGCGCAAUCUUCCUCGAGAGUUCAUAUCGACAGGCAGGUUUACGACCUCGAUGUUGGAUCAGGGUAUCCCGGUGGUGCAGCCGCUACUAAUGGUUCG